Bos taurus (domestic cattle) is the source of this 72-nucleotide non-coding RNA. Lineage: Eukaryota; Metazoa; Chordata; Mammalia; Artiodactyla; Bovidae. The record is from Rfam.
UCCCCAGUGGCUCAGAUGGUAAAGAAUCUGCCUGUUAUGCAGGAGACCCAGGUUCAAUCCCUGGAUUGGGAA